UUUGCCUACGGGAGGCAGCAGUUAGGAAUAUUCGGCAAUGGGGGAAACCCUGACCGAGCAAUGCCGCGUGUGAGAUGGCGGCCCUAUGGGUUGUAAAUCACUUUUAUUUGGGGAGAACUGUAAGUAGAGGAAAUGAUACUUACUUGACGGUACCUUUUGAAUAAGCCCCGGCUAACUACGUGCCAGCAGCCGCGGUAAUACGUAGGUGGCGAGCGUUGUCCGGAUUUACUGGGCGCAAAGGGAGCGUAGGCGGGCUUUUAAGUGAGAUGUGAAAUACUCGGGCUCAACUUGAGUGCUGCAUUUCA
Molecule: ribosomal RNA, 305 nt
Filed under: uncultured bacterium
Lineage: Bacteria
Description: bacterial SSU rRNA
Rfam family: Bacterial small subunit ribosomal RNA
Source: RNAcentral